Molecule: ribosomal RNA, 594 nt
Filed under: Hanseniaspora uvarum
Lineage: Eukaryota; Fungi; Ascomycota; Saccharomycetes; Saccharomycodales; Saccharomycodaceae
Description: eukaryotic LSU rRNA
Rfam family: Eukaryotic large subunit ribosomal RNA
Source: RNAcentral
AUCGGAGGAAAAGAAACCAACUGGGAUUACCUUAGUAACGGCGAGUGAAGCGGUAAAAGCUCAAAUUUGAAAUCUGGUACUUUCAGUGCCCGAGUUGUAAUUUGUAGAAUUUGUCUUUGAUUAGGUCCUUGUCUAUGUUCCUUGGAACAGGACGUCAUAGAGGGUGAGAAUCCCGUUUGGCGAGGAUACCUUUUCUCUGUAAGACUUUUUCGAAGAGUCGAGUUGUUUGGGAAUGCAGCUCAAAGUGGGUGGUAAAUUCCAUCUAAAGCUAAAUAUUGGCGAGAGACCGAUAGCGAACAAGUACAGUGAUGGAAAGAUGAAAAGAACUUUGAAAAGAGAGUGAAAAAGUACGUGAAAUUGUUGAAAGGGAAGGGCAUUUGAUCAGACAUGGUGUUUUUUGCAUGCACUCGCCUCUCGUGGGCUUGGGCCUCUCAAAAAUUUCACUGGGCCAACAUCAAUUCUGGCAGCAGGAUAAAUCAUUAAGAAUGUAGCUACUUCGGUAGUGUUAUAGCUUUUUGGAAUACUGUUAGCCGGGAUUGAGGACUGCGCUUCGGCAAGGAUGUUGGCAUAAUGGUUAAAUGCCGCCCGUCUUGA